CGAAAGCUGCGGUGCCUGAGCCGCUGGGAUUUCUCUUCCUCCGCUUACUCGUCCUGUGGUUUGGGGCAGACUUUUCCCAGGCUUGAGGUUUCCGAGGCCAGGCCCAAACUUUAUUACCUAUUUCCUUUACCUCUCUUGUUGUUUUGGGUAAAGGAUGACAUUAUGCAGCUUCCACUGCUUCUCGUGGCCUAAUUAUCUCUGCCGAAGACACAGUUACUUUCACAUGCCCAAAGUCCUCCCACGAAGGAACUGGUACUAGAUAUGAUGGCCGGAGUCUGUUGAGAAGCAUCAGGCUCUGUCUGACCUGGGACGUUUUUGUCACUGUGCUCUUCCAUUGAUCCAGUGUGUCAGUUAAUUGUAUGGCCAGUGAACUGAUUUGGGGGGAAGAGCUCAGACUGACAUGGUUAUAUACUGCUGUUCCUGCCAGGGACCGCCUCAAACACCAUCAUACGGGGGCGUAGGCAGGUGCUGGUCCUGAUCUGGUUUCUAUUAGGACUCAGCCAUCAAAGACCAAUGAAAGCCUAUGGUGCUGAAUGAUGUACGAGGUGUUUAAGGGAUGAGAAUAAUACGACACGUGGUUUCUGACAUCCAGAAGAUUAUCAUUCAGUAGGUAAGCCGAAGUGACCAACAUAUGACAGGGAACAGGUUUUGAGUAUAAUAUUGCAGAGCUAUGGCUAUUUGAAUGCUUAUUUAGGCAUCCUUCUAGAAAGAAUUGAAAUGUAGCC
This is a non-coding RNA of Sus scrofa (pig), 725 nucleotides long. The record is from RefSeq and is a predicted model, not a curated record. NCBI's taxonomy places the organism in Eukaryota, Metazoa, Chordata, Mammalia, Artiodactyla, Suidae.